GUGCGAUCGCCCGUGAGGGCGGUCACGAAGCCCUGACGAGUAGGAGGGUCGCGGCGGUGAGCGCAGAAGGGCUGGCCGCGAGGCCGUCUGGAGCCGCCGUCGGUGCAGAUCUUGGUGGUAGUAGCAAAUACUCCAGCGAGGCCCUGGAGGACUGACGUGGAGAAGGGUUUCGUGUGAACAGCCGUUGCACACGAGUCAGUCGAUCCUAAGCCCUAGGCGAAAGCCGAUGUCGAUGCGGUGUAGUUUUUACCAAAUAUAUAUUUAUAUAUGUAUGUAUGUAU
RNAcentral lists this ribosomal RNA (281 nucleotides) under Silvacalles instabilis. Its description in RNAcentral is "partial 28S ribosomal RNA". It matches the Rfam family "Eukaryotic large subunit ribosomal RNA", at positions 1342 to 1590 of the family's 3401-position model. Lineage: Eukaryota; Metazoa; Arthropoda; Insecta; Coleoptera; Curculionidae. The record is from RNAcentral.